UCCGUGUAGAUCUUCCCUUGGUGGCGCUUGCAUCUUCACAUGGCAUAAGAUCGAAGGAUCCUAUGAACCCAGGCCGUCAUGAACGGUCAUCCACCCCGCCGGAGGUAGGAAGCCGGAGUGUGGUCUGUUGUGUUGCUUGUGAAUUUUCGCUCAUGACAUCUAUUUUCUUGUGCAGAUUGGUAUUGCUUGCAUGUUCACAGGACCAUGGACCGAGGAUUUCCUGAACACGAUGAACAUCCUAGGUUUUCGAUGUGAGCCAAUGGUUCUUCCAAUUCAUCUCCUAUUUUGCGGAUAGAAACCACGCUAGAUUUUUUUCGCCGGCAGAUCUGAUUCGGACCCACAGUACUUCUCUAGCCCUGCUGUGUCUUCUCAUUCUCUACCCAUCGUUCUUCCUCCUUGGCUUUGAAUCUGCCACGAUGACCACCAGACUGUCUCUCCGCACGAGUCAGUAUAGUCGUGUUCACCAUCAAUUUUCAGUCAUAACCUUAUCCCGCUCAUGUUGUUUUCCUUCGUCUUCUCUAUAUUAUUUCAGUUUUUAUUUCCACUGAUAUUCCUCUGAUAUGUACUUUCCCCCCACUGCAGGUUUGUUUUCCUCGCUCUACGCGGGGAGAUCUCAUUCUGACCCUGCCCUAGCUCUGUUCUCUACAAACCCUGACCUACUGCUGCCGUUUUGGGGCUGCUACCGAAGUUUCUGUUCAUGACAGUUCCAGAAGAUAAGUUCACUGCUUGCAGGUAAUUAGAGUCCCCUUUGAAGUAUUUAUCCCCCUCUUUCCUCUAUUAUCUUGAAGUACUUUAACAUUUUACUUGCCAAGGCGUGCAUUGGAUGGUUCUAUUCCCUUUAUGAUUCCAUAUACAAUAUGUUGAUUGCUUUUGUGGUGAAUCAUGCGAAGGAUUUAAUUUGCGUUCAGCCACACAAAAAAGCCCGGUCCUAUAGGUACGACCGUGCAAAUUCCCCUAUUAGUAAUUUAGUACCAUCUCAACAAAGGUUGUGUGUGCCGAGUGACCGAUGAAAUACACUUGGCAAACUACUUGGCACUAGGCAAAAUAAGUGAUUCCGGCGAUACUGUUUACUAGCGAGCGUCCAUUUUGAACUGGGUACGAGCUUAACAGAUUUAAGAAGCGGUUAGAUCAAACGCCAGCUUGGAGUAGACUUAAAGAAAAUCCAGUAUAUUGUGAUGACCGUGGUCGUGCAGACUUCAACCAAUAUAAAACUGCUCCAGUAUUAGAUUUACGAGCAUAUUUUAAGAACUCGAACUUAUUACUAGUACCCCAAGUGUGGUGGUGGUAUGUCAAACAACAGCAGUAAAACAACAUCAGAUCAAUAUGCAAACCGUAUCAAACAAUCACUAGGCUUCACGCCGCGGGCAUGCUCUUAUGUAUGCUUGCACCAGAUGGCUGGAACCUUUUCCUUUCCUUUUUUGCAAGUCGUGUAAAUUUGCGAUCUAAUUCCGCAAGACAUUAAGUAGUGGUCAAGGGGAUCCAAAGGGUGAGAGAGAUGAUAGCAUAGCAUUCCACUCCUAGGAAACGGAAUCUUAUUAUGUGCUUCAAGAUCUAGCAGCCACAACCACAACCACGCCGUAUGAAUGUUGAUCACCGUUACUGCUCGUACGUGGGUACUAGUGAGAUUUUUGGAAAAUACCCCACGGACCCUCGCAAUCUUUAUCCCUGCCAUCUCACUGUUGCCGUCUUUACUCUCUAAGUGACAUGUCAAUCUACUGGCUUGCUCGGUAUGCUGACUGGUUCUUGCGGAAGCAUGGCGAUGAUACGGUCGAUGCACGGAGACGAUUAAUUGAAGUGACGAAGGGGCCCACAGCCCAAAUGCCCGUUUAAAUUAUGCACGGUAGUUGGUAGUACUUGCAUAGGAGCCAUGAAGACAAUCUCGGGGCCAGAGAGGGUCCUGUUGGUUUGUUUUCAAAACUUUUGCGAAGGGAAAGAUCCAAGGAGCAAAUGGAGUACAGGGCGUUCCCUUUGUUCUGUUUUGCAAGAGCUGGCAAGUGUGACUGUGUGGGCCGGCAAGCGUUGCGUUGCGUCGCCUCCUCUCUUUCUGCCUCCUCAUUUCGAUGCGAUAUCAACCCUUGCUGGGCUCUUCCUCGAACGGGUUGUUGUGUAACAGGUGAGUAGGGCCCAGUAGAACGCAUGUGAAUUUGCUCAUCAACUUGAUGGAUUAAUUUUAAGAUAUAUGACAUCCCUAUUAGAGGAGGCACCUAUUCUUCCAUCAAAUAUUCUGCUUUUUCUUGGGUACUCGGGUUCAAGUACCUAUUGAUUUUUUGUUUCUUCACUAGCUUCACAUAAUCCUGAAAACACAAGUUUUCUCCAAGCCUCUUGCGCACAUCUCUGAUUGAAGGGUACUAUUCUAUAAUGUUUCUUUAGUAGACCCCCCUGCUAAUCUGAGCGAGUUUUCAUAUACUGUAUACACAAAUACAUGAUUCACUAUACCCGCUUUUGAAAUAAAGACUAGAUAACCUCUUCUCACCUGAAUAUCCAAAUACAAAGUGGUAAGAAACAAAUUUUAAUUAAUGAGAAGAAUCAAUGGAUUCAUGAUUAACCUCUCUGCUGGUUCUCCCCGAAAUGCGUUGAGGCGCAACAGUUGACUGGACAUCUAGGGGUAAAGCACUAUUUCGGUGUGGGCUGCGCAAGCGGUACCAAAUCGAGGCCAUUUCAAAAAUCAAAACAAUCGGGACUACUUGUAUUUCUGCAAUUUUGGUUCCGCACUCGUUUUGGGAGAUGAAGACGCAGUGGUAAAGCUGCUGCCUUGUGACCAUGAGGUCGCUGGUUCAAGUUCUGGAAACAGCUUCUUACUAUAGACCCAAAGUGGUCGGACCCUUCCCCGGACCCUGCGCAAGUGGGUGCUACAUGCACCGGGCUGCCCUUUUUAUUCAUUUUGGGAGAUAGAGGACGGACAUCCCACAUCAAGGGCAUCUCCAACGUCGACCCUCAAACCGUUCGCAUACGUUCGGACCGCGCUAGCCGGACGUGUUGUGCCAUCCAAAUGCACUUUCUCCCGCGAACCAGAGUCAAACAUGGGGGGAGUAGUAGUGCUUUGCGAGGCGUCCGGACCGCUGCCACGCCUGCGUGUGACCGCCCUGGCCCACCCGAACCACCUUCCUCGCCCACGCGCGCUUCUUGCCCGAAACAGUCUGCGCUACUCCAGAGUGUCAGUGCCACAUUCAUGCCCAGCUAGAGUGGACAUGAUCUCUCACUGGUGCCGGCAUUGAAGUGGCGCCGACCGAGAGAGGAGCGCCUGCGCCGCUUCUCGGUGUGCGCGACGGCUCCACGUUCAAACGACACCACGGCCGCCCGUCUGUCCAUUUGUCGCCCACAUUAAUGACACCGCCCACAACCUUCAUCUCCUCCAGGAGCACCAGCAGGCGGAGGAGCAGCUCAAUGCCCGUAGGGAGAUCGCGUCGGACGCGGAUGUGGCGGAGCAGGCGGCGCUGCAUGAGUCCUAUCGCUCCGCCCGUGAGAUCCCCCUCGCCCGCUGGCGGUAGCGCCAACGUUAGGCGGAACUGGAGGCUGCCUACCAAGAGUUUGACGAGGCAGCAAACGAGGUGUGGGGCAAGACAAGCGAGGAGGAGGACAUCGCCGGCUCCGCCCCGGCUGCGCCCCUCCACCACGACCACGAAGCCGAUACGUCAACGGGCACCGCCAAUAGUGAGGAAGAGUAGUGCAUGGUAGGUCCCCGUUGCUCGGGUCCGAAGAAGGCGACCACUCCUUCCCUCCCGUUGAAGCCAAGCUUGGUGGGCUAAACAUCGUCGGUCGAUUAGCCGCUUGGCGACGACAUGGAGGAGGACGACUUCACUUCUCGACGCUCCGAAGGCAGAGGUUAUGGAGGCGGAACUGGAGAAGGCGAAGCUUCAGUUCUCGGGGCUCAUGCCUGGACACGGGAAUGGGCGUCGGCGAUCAUUUAGAUUAGGUAAACUAGCACAUAUGCCCGAUUGUUGCAACGGAAGAAAAAAUAAUAUGCAUUUAAAGUUAGUGAGAAUUAUAUGUGCAAGCAAAACCCUGUGUACACGUGAAAAAUGAACAUUUAGCUUCUCGGUUUCGCUGGGUGUGAAGUAAUCAAUCCGCUAUCUUUUCAAUCAUUGAUUGAGGACAUUUAAGAGUUUUGUUAUGUCAUCGUACGCCAGAGAAGGCCCAUGAAUUAUUCAAUCUAAUUUCCCUUUCAACCCAGGAGAUUUGAAGGUAUGAAGUUUCUGAUAUUGUAGGAAUAUGAACCAUUUUUUAAAUCUUAAAUAUGAUUUCGAAAAUUAUGUACAUUUUCAGAAAAAUAGGAGCAAAAUUUGAAACAUGAACAUCUUUUCAAAUUCAUGAACAUUUUUUGAAAAAGCAAUUUGAAAAAAAACAUGGACAUUAUUUGAAUUUGUGAACAUUUUAUUUAUAAUGGGAACAUGUGUUGAAAAUUCAUAACAUUUUUUGAAAAUAUUUAUCUUUUAUAGGCGAACAUUAUUUUGAAUUGUGAAAAUUUCACUAAACCAAGAAUAUAUUUUGAAUUUGGAGCAUUUCUUAAAUGCCAUUUUCUUUUUCAAAAUAUUGAACUAUUUUGAAAAACAAUAAAAAAAUAGAACAGGAAACCUUUUUCAAGUUCCAAAUAUUUUUUUAAAUAUCAACAAAAUAUUGGAAUUCUGAACAUUUUCCAAAAUUUGUUUUUUUAAUUCUAAACUUUUUUGAGAGUUUUGAAUUUAUGAAAUAAAUUCUGUAAGAAAAAUUAACAUGGAAGGGAAAAAAAAUAUAGGAGGAGGAAAUAAAAAUAGAAGUAGAACAUAGAAACAAAGAAAAAUGGGCCAGCCCAUUAUUGGUUGUCCUGGGCGAAGGUCCUAUUAUUUGCCGCUCUGUGCGGGAAAUAGAAAUUUCCGAGCUGUGUUGGCAGAAAAAUAAGUGGGCUGGCUUCGCUGGGCCACAGCGCGUGGCCUAUGUACGAAAUUCUAGAAAAGCUUUUUUUAGCAGAUAAAUGCAUAAAAAUUUAAUACCACCUCGGAUAAAAAAUCUUUUGGAUGGAUGGUGAAGGAUAAAAAAAUUAACGAAACACACCAUGCUUUAUUAUUAUUAGGUAUUAGGUAUAGAUUAAUGGUGCGUGCAGAGCUGGACGAGCAACGCUUUUAGUUAAAAGUAUGUCCAAACUGUAAUGAAUUCCGUCAUGUUUAUUUGAAAUCCGCCGUGUUUGCAUGAAUCUCUUAUUGUUUUUUUGAAAAUCCGGUCAUGUUUACAUGAAUUUUAUCUGGUUGUACGGAUAGUAGUUGAAAUGUAACGUUGGAUGGCCAUCUUCUGUAUCCGUGUCCACGGACUGGUUUGCUCCCUCAUCGUGUCGAUGGAUCUAAUACCUGCAUCUUCUCAGAUGUCGUUCUGGGGCGAUUGGAACAAGGGAGGGGGGUCUGGCCACAAGGUGAUUUUGGCUGCAGAGUUCAGUUCCUUGGUCGAUUUUAGGAUUUUUAUCUUUAGAUUGUUGUUCUCUCCUUACACCUGUCUUCUGAUAUGAAUUUGUGCAGCCUCUCUACUGGCUUGGAGCUGGGAAUCUGAAUCUGGAUAAAGAGCCUACUCUGGACGAACUGGAUGUGGAGAAUGUGGGGAAGCUGUCCACCGUCUGGAGAGGUUGAGUCAAUGUUCAGGUCAAAUCUAGAUGCCUAUGCAUUUUUGUUACUGCUAUCCAUAGCAAUUUGAUUAUUUUCAUUUUGUAAUGGUUAUUUGUGUUUGUGUUUGCAGGAACUGGAGGAGUUCCUCCCCCCUCCUCCGGAGGAGUUGACUGUUGGCAGGGAUGAGGUUACCGUGAGAGAUGUUGGUACUUACUGGGGCAAGUGCAGGGAGGGGUCCAUACUGAGAAGAUGGUAAAAUUUUGGGCGUAAUUAAAACAAAGAUUGUCUAUUGGAGCUUAUGGCGGGCCAUUUUGAUUUACAUUCCAUUCUCUAGUUUGUUUGUUGUUUAGACUGUACAUAUACCAGCACGAAUUAGAUACAACCUGUGACUGGCAUUUAAUAUUGCUUUGAAUGUCAUGGCUUUUUGUGACUAGAUUGAGAUACACUGGAUAGAGGUUAUUUCUACGGUUUUUCUUGCUAUUUUACAGUCAAAUGUAAUAUUAUGGGGUCUUCAUUCAAGUUUUCGCCUACUGUAUUUAUCUUUGGCGCUGUAUUUAUCUUACCAG
Molecule: long non-coding RNA, 6133 nt
Filed under: Triticum aestivum (bread wheat)
Lineage: Eukaryota; Viridiplantae; Streptophyta; Magnoliopsida; Poales; Poaceae
Description: long non-coding RNA (TAES_LNC010054)
Source: RNAcentral